RNAcentral lists this ribosomal RNA (440 nucleotides) under uncultured bacterium. Its description in RNAcentral is "partial 16S ribosomal RNA". It matches the Rfam family "Bacterial small subunit ribosomal RNA", at positions 338 to 795 of the family's 1533-position model. The record is from RNAcentral.
CCUACGGGAGGCAGCAGUGGGGAAUAUUGCACAAUGGGGGAAACCCUGAUGCAGCGACGCCGCGUGAGUGAAGAAGUAAUUCGGUAUGUAAAGCUCUAUCAGCAGGGAAGAAAAUGACGGUACCUGAGUAAGAAGCCCCGGCUAACUACGUGCCAGCAGCCGCGGUAAUACGGAGGGGGCAAGCGUUAUCCGGAUUUACUGGGGGUAAAGGGAGCGUAGACGGGAGUGCAAGUCUGGAGUGAAAGGCGGGGGCUCAACCCCCGGACUGCUCUGGAAACUGUACGGCUGGAGUGCAGGAGAGGUAAGUGGAAUUCCUAGUGUAGCGGUGAAAUGCGUAGAUAGUAGGAGGAACACCAGUGGCGAAGGCGGCUUACUGGACUGUAACUGACGUUGAGGCUCGAAAGCGUGGGGAGCAAACAGGAUUAGAUACCCUGGUAGUC